Long non-coding RNA from Pan paniscus (pygmy chimpanzee), 1062 nucleotides. The record is from Ensembl. Lineage: Eukaryota; Metazoa; Chordata; Mammalia; Primates; Hominidae.
GUGUGUCUUGCACUGUUCUUAGCACUCUGCAUGUGUCAGCGCCUUUUCUCCUCUCUGCCCACCUGGGAGGCAGGUGGUACUCAUCUUUCUUUUACAGAUGAGAAAGCCAAGGCAGAGUAAAGAAAUGACAUUCCCAGGUAACACAGCUGGUAAAUGGUACAUGACCUCACCCCAGGCUAGCUGAUUGGAGGGUUCAUGCGCUUAACAACUUCCUUCUACUGCUUCUCUGCAGAACAUGGCCCUAACGGUGGGCAGGGUGAAACUGAGGAACACAGCAGGAAGCUGAUUUAGGCAAACUCAGCAGGAAGUGUUCCCUGUGAACCCAUGAGACUUCAUCCCUGCGUUGGUCUGGCUGGCUUUCCCUGUGAGAAUCAGGUUCCUCCUGAAGAGCUGAAGCUCCAUUCCAGCUCUAGACUUCUCCUUGCUUUCAGACUUCAAGAUGAGAAGCAUUUUUCCAGUCCACAAGUGUUAGAGGACGCUGCCAAUGAUGUGUGUUUUGCCCAGGCUGGACUCAGCUUCGUCUUGCCUGGCGAAGAGGCAGUGCUGUGCCAGGAAAUAGCACCCAGGCAGGACUCCAGGGUGGGGACCGCUAAUCUGGCUUUGCCACAGGUGAGUUAAAACCCAUUUGAGAAAGUCAUGUAUCCCAACCUGGUUUUCUAGGUUGCAAGUUGAGCUUAAUAAUUGUAGCCCUUCUGCUCUGAUGAGGCAAUUGGAAAGAUGAAGGAGAUAGCAAGCAUGUAUAUUUAAAGGGAAGGUGGUUGUCACUCUUUAUUUCUUCACUCAUUCAUCCAUCAAAUAUUUCACAGCAAUGCACUGGGCUAGCUAAUGCAUGGAUGAAAGGAUGAUGGGAUGGGCACUGUAUAUCCUUCCCACCCUCACGUGUCUGGUAGGCUUGAUGCACAUCAAUGAUGAUGGCUGAGAGGUGCAAGGUUACAUAAGAGAGAUGCAGCACUGGGCUGUGGGGUUCAGAAGCGGGAUGGUCUCAUCUGGGAGGCUCCUGAGAUAAGGGAAGAUGUUGCCUUGAGGAAGCCAGACCUAACCAAAACCAGUGCCUCAGGGGUC